Molecule: ribosomal RNA, 208 nt
Filed under: uncultured Micrococcineae bacterium
Lineage: Bacteria; Bacillati; Actinomycetota; Actinomycetes; Micrococcales
Description: partial 16S ribosomal RNA
Rfam family: Bacterial small subunit ribosomal RNA
Source: RNAcentral
CUUGUAGGCGGCUUGUCGCGUCUGCUGUGAAAACCCGGGGCUUAACCCCGGGCUUGCAGUGGGUACGGGCAGGCUAGAGUGUGGUAGGGGAGACUGGAAUUCCUGGUGUAGCGGUGGAAUGCGCAGAUAUCAGGAGGAACACCGAUGGCGAAGGCAGGUCUCUGGGCCAUUACUGACGCUGAGAAGCGAAAGCGUGGGGAGCGAACAG